Molecule: ribosomal RNA, 253 nt
Filed under: uncultured bacterium
Lineage: Bacteria
Description: partial 16S ribosomal RNA
Rfam family: Bacterial small subunit ribosomal RNA
Source: RNAcentral
UACGAAGGGGGCUAGCGUUGUUCGGAAUUACUGGGCGUAAAGCGUGCGCAGGCGGUUCUCCAAGUCAGUGGUGAAAGCCCGGAGCUCAACUCCGGAACUGCCAUUGAAACUGUAGAGCUAGAGUACGAGAGAGGUGAGUGGAAUUCCCAGUGUAGAGGUGAAAUUCGUAGAUAUUGGGAAGAACACCGGUGGCGAAGGCGGCUCACUGGCUCGUAACUGACGCUCAUGCACGACAGCGUGGGGAGCGAACAGG